AUUGGCUGGUGUUAAUGUUCACGCCCACCUGUCCAGGAAGUCAUUUUAAUCCAGAAAGUUCAUUUGCUGCAGGUGUGUCCUGAAAUAACAGGCAUGUAGAGAUGUCAAGACGACCUGCUGAAGCUCAAACCAAGCAACAGAAUGAGGAAGAAUGUAGAGUUGGGUCACUCUAAAUGAGUGCCUACAGUGUGCAGAGUUUUCAUCCCACAACCCAGAUGGCUCGAUGAACAUCAUGGAGGCCAACCUGCUCAGAAUGAGAAUCGUGCACAAAUAGAACCACAUUUCACCAGGAGAAAUAAUUUCAAUCCAGGAUGAGGAUUUGCAUGAGUGUGAGGGAGGAUUACCAGAACAUCACAUCUUCCCUUGUAAGUGGUACUCACUUACUUAAGCCAUCAUCCAGUCAUUAAAAAUGUAGAAUUCCCGUUUUUUUUUUAAAGUGGAACAUGAUUCUGCUUUGUGCUCAGGAGGCAGUGAAGCACGAUGCUCUGCAUAUGAAAUGCAUUUGGUCAUCCCCCUGGCAACAGGGCCGGGAAAAGGUUCACUGAGUAAAAUGAGAGCAGAUUGCUUUUAUUCUUUAUUUAGAGAGUUAUUCUAGACACUGAGUCACAGAUGCCCAGCCACUGUAAAAAUCAUUCCUGCUCAAUUGAUGCUGUCGGAAGAAAAAGUUGAAGGCUUCAGUGCCUGUGGGGAAAAGCGUAAUGGAUUUAUAUUUGUCUCCUGCUUGUUUUUCACACUUUAGGGCUCUUGACAUUAUAUUCCUCCUGAGACUGUCGGUAGCAUCAACACAAACGUGACAUAGUUAUACUCUCAUUGUAUGGUAUAAGUAAAACGUGGGUGAAUAAGGGAGCAAACAGAGGGAGAGUGUGUGUGU
Long non-coding RNA from Solea senegalensis (Senegalese sole), 871 nucleotides. RefSeq lists it as uncharacterized. The transcript is spliced from 4 exons. The record is from RefSeq and is a predicted model, not a curated record. NCBI's taxonomy places the organism in Eukaryota, Metazoa, Chordata, Actinopteri, Pleuronectiformes, Soleidae.